This 1164-nucleotide long non-coding RNA is filed under the name Equus caballus (horse). RNAcentral's name for it is "lncRNA (ENSECAG00000056733.1)". The record is from RNAcentral. Lineage: Eukaryota; Metazoa; Chordata; Mammalia; Perissodactyla; Equidae.
CUUCAUCUCUACCCCAGCACCUUGCCUGGCAUCUGGCACACAGUAGGUGCUCAACUACACGCUUGUUGAGCCACGAGUGAAGCAAUGCACACAGGAAAUGAUCAAAAAACAACAACAAAGAAAUAUAUCGCUAAGAGCAUCUUUGCCGGAGAAAAUGAAAGCGAUUCCCGGUUCUUGGCAGUCGAGAGUAGUGUUUUUGUGGCCCUUCCCUGGUUGAUUUUCUAGUUUGUUCUGGAAGCCUGGACCCAAGGAGAAGCUUCUCCCUGGCAGCAGUACCGCCUUCUUCCAGAAGAUGGCGGGCGAGGCCUGCAGCACAGCGUCGCGGGGCAGCCCGCUGGGCCCGUCGGCGCAGGUGAGCCCUUUUCAUAAAGGACGCGGGAAACUGGGGCCUGUUUACCAGCGCUAUAAAUGCACGUGGAAGAGAAGAACUGGCCUUCGAGGUACAGCUGCUAGCUGAUCUCUUGUGAAAAGGAGCCUUUUGGAAAGGGCGCUUAAAGGGAAAACGUGGCCACAGGUCCUGAAGGGGCUGCUUCUCAUGGACCCCCUUUGAGUAGUGUCUCUUGAAUAGCCGUGGAAAAUGAACUUAAUAUAAAGCAGACACAGCCCUCAAGCGCUCCCUGACUCGAGACAGCAUCCCUUCUGCCUCUUGAAGCUCGUUGGCUUUGGAAAUCACCCGCGGCUCUGUGGCCACCUCCCCUGUUGGCUGAAGCUUGCCUCGCGGCACGUCCCUCUUUGCGCAGGUCUGCACGCUCCGCAGAGGUAACUGAGGACUUUCCGAGUCCAGCUGACUGGAAAGAGGCGAUGGCCUAACAAAACGGCCUGGGGAAUUUCCAGCACGAUGGGAAUUUGCCAAAUAGCUCUUCUGUAGGGCUGACGAGGCCUACUAAUGUUUGCUCCUCAAAGUCAGCCAUAAUUACGAAGGUGUAUGCCCCCCAAAAUUGAAAACAGAGGCUCAAACGAAAACUUGUUCGCCUAUGUUCAUAGCACCACUACUCGCAAUAGCCUGAAGGUGGAAACAACUCAGAUGUCCAUUAAUGGAUGAAUGGAUAAACAAAAUGUGGAACGUUAUUCGGCAACAGGAAGGAAAGAAAUUGAUACAGGCUACAACAUGCAUGAACCUUGAACCUUCACUAUACUAAAUAAAAGAAGCCAGAAACAAAGUCA